GUGCCAGCCGCCGCGGUAAUACGUAGGGUGCGAGCGUUAAUCGGAAUUACUGGGCGUAAAGCGUGCGCAGGUGGUUCGUCAAGUCUGAUGUGAAAGCCCCGGGCUCAACCUGGGAACUGCAUUGGAAACUAGCGGGCUUGAGUGUGGCAGAGGGGGGUGGAAUUCCACGUGUAGCAGUGAAAUUGCGUAGAGAUGUGGAGGAACACCGAUGGCGAAGGCAGCCCCCUGGGCUAACACUGACGCUCAUGCACGAAAGCGUGGGGAGCAAACAGGAUUAGAUACCCCAGUAGUCCUAGCUGUAAACAAUGGAUACUAGAUGUUGAACAGAUCGACCUGUGCAGUAUUAAAGCUAACGCGUUAAGUAUCCCGCCUGGGAAGUAUGCUCGCAAGAGUGAAACUCAAAGGAAUUGACGG
Molecule: ribosomal RNA, 414 nt
Filed under: uncultured bacterium
Lineage: Bacteria
Description: bacterial SSU rRNA
Rfam family: Bacterial small subunit ribosomal RNA
Source: RNAcentral